Molecule: ribosomal RNA, 449 nt
Filed under: uncultured bacterium
Lineage: Bacteria
Description: partial 16S ribosomal RNA
Rfam family: Bacterial small subunit ribosomal RNA
Source: RNAcentral
AACGAACGCUGGCGGCAUGCCUAACACAUGCAAGUCGAACGAGACCUUCGGGUCUAGUGGCGCACGGGUGCGUAACGCGUGGGAAUCUGCCCUUGGGUUCGGGAUAACAGUUGGAAACGACUGCUAAUACCGGAUGACGUCUUCGGACCAAAGAUUUAUCGCCAAGGGAUGGGCCCGCGUCGGAUUAGCUAGUUGGUAGGGUAAAAGCCUACCAAGGCGACGAUCCGUAGCUGGUCUGAGAGGAUGAUCAGCCACACUGGGACUGAGACACGGCCCAGACUCCUACGGGAGGCAGCAGUGGGGAAUAUUGGACAAUGGGCGAAAGCCUGAUCCAGCAAUGCCGCGUGAGUGAUGAAGGCCUUAGGGUUGUAAAGCUCUUUUACCCGGGAUGAUAAUGACAGUACCGGGAGAAUAAGCCCCGGCUAACUCCGUGCCAGCAGCCGCAGUAA